Molecule: ribosomal RNA, 253 nt
Filed under: uncultured prokaryote
Description: partial 16S ribosomal RNA
Rfam family: Bacterial small subunit ribosomal RNA
Source: RNAcentral
UACGAACUGUGCGAACGUUAUUCGGAAUCACUGGGCUUAAAGGGUGCGUAGGCGGUUCUCUAAGUCAGGUGUGAAAUCUCUCGGCUCAACCGGGAAACUGCGCCUGAUACUGGCAGACUAGAGUGUGGUAGGGGAGACUGGAAUUCCUGGUGUAGCGGUGGAAUGCGCAGAUAUCAGGAGGAACACCAAUGGCGAAGGCAGGUCUCUGGGCCACAACUGACGCUGAGGAGCGAAAGCGUGGGGAGCGAACAGG